This 25644-nucleotide long non-coding RNA is filed under the name Triticum aestivum (bread wheat). RNAcentral describes it as "long non-coding RNA (TAES_LNC025358)". Lineage: Eukaryota; Viridiplantae; Streptophyta; Magnoliopsida; Poales; Poaceae. The record is from RNAcentral.
UUUUAUUUUGUAUCAAUGUGAAACUUUUGUGAAUUGAUGGAUAACGGUGUUGAAUGAACGUUGUGAAACUUUUGUAAUAUGUAACGAUGGAACUAUGUGUUGGCUAUGUAUGUAUAUAUGAUGAAACUUGUGUGUUGGAUAUGAUCUGGUGGACGCAGGUAACAUCGUUACAUAUGGCCCCCUGUAUGUAAGCUAAGCAGAUCUGUGUUGUAUGUUAUCUCUAAUAUUUUUUAACCUGUGAAAAUAUCAGAAAUGAAAAAAAAUCCCUAAUAUUCAUACUAGUGGCGCACCACACAAGACAUUAAUGGCGCACUGUUAUAAUCACACUAAUGGCGCAUCACCCAACAGUGCGCCAUUAGUAUGCCAAAGCACAAGGUUAAAUAUGGCCCCCUGGGAGGCAUACUAAUGGCGCAUGGUGUUCUAUACUAAUGGCGCACUGGUCGGUGCGCCAUUAGUAUACCAGAUACUAAUGGCGCACCGGUGGUGCGCCAUUAGUAAGAAAUACUAGUGGCGUGAUACUAAUGGCGCACCAGCAGUGCGCCAUUAGUGGGCAAAACUGGUGCGCCAUACUAGCCCUUUUCCUAGUAGUGUUGGGUUCAACUUGUCAACCAGCUUUGGUGCGGCUGCCCACUUUUGAAAAUCCUUGUUGAUUAUCGACCACCGGGACCGAAGAGAUCGGUCGGAGCGGUCAGUUUCACUCACGUUGCGAACAUCAAAGUGUUCCUUCAUCUGGUUCCAAUAAACAUCUCUACUUUGAUCACCUCCAACGGAUGGAUCCCUCGACACUUGCAACCAAGUAUUGCAUAGUAAGAUAUCUUCGGCGUUGGUGUAAUUGCCCGCUCUUCCUUUUGGUGCAUUGACAAUGCCCUCACCAUCCUCGUCCACCUCUAUAGCGACCAGACCUCAAACGGUCCAAUCUCUGUGCUCCGGUGUCAUCCCUGGAUCAGUAAUGCUGACACCACAUAGUACUUGAAGGAUUUAUAACAGAGUAGCAAUCACACACUUAUUACACCGAGUGUCUCAAUAGAGAACUUAUUACAAUAAAUAUGGCUUAAGGCCAUCUAAUAACGAUAACAGCGGAAGGCUUAGAAGAUAAGUGAGUCCAUCAACUCCAACGGCAUCACUGAGUAUAGAACCACGACCUAAAACUCCUUAAUCGUCGUCUGAAAAGCCUGCAACAUUAACGUUGCAGCCCGAAAACGGGUCAGCACAUGGAAUAUGCUGGCAAGGUAACACAUAGAGAGUAAUGGAAUGAAACAGCUAUACUAUAUGCAUCUUUGGCUGGUGGAAAGCUCUAUGGUUACAGUUUUGUGAAAAGCCAUUUUUUCCCUACUGCAAAGGAAUAAAUUUAUUUAACUAUCAUGGUGGUUGUUAAACAUUGAGAAUGGUUGACAGCAUUCUCAAUCCCAAUUAAACAUCAUUAAACAAACCCGUCAAACUUAAUUUUAUAGUAACAUGUUGAGAUUCACAUGAUAAUCCAAGUACUAGAUACUCAAGAUGUCCAUGACCGGGGAUAUGGCUAACCAUGAUUAGUUUAUACACUCUGCAGAGGUUUGCGCACUUUUCCCCACAAGACUCGAUCUCCUCCGUUGGAUUUCUCGCACUACAGGGUGUUUGAGAAACGGAUGACCGAGACAUAGUCUUUCAGAAGAGCUAGCACCUUACGAUCGGGUAGACCGUACCACCUACAUCCCCUACAUCUGCUAGUCUACCACUGUAAGAGUUCGCACGACUUAGUCAACUAUGCUAGAGCCCAUAAUAGCUUGUGGCUGCACACGGAAGUUUCUAGCAUGAAUAAUCUCAUGAUCCCUUUGAGCCUGGGUGGCGGUCCAAAAGAAACAGGAAAUCCUGGAAUACCCAGGUACCUCAAUCCACCCAAAUGUGUAUUUAAGUUGCCACCUUAGAUAAACCAUUGAUUUAAAAGAAAUCUCACAUCUGUCAUGGAUAUCACUCACCCAAUCCACGUCUACUAGCAUAGCAUAGCAAUAGUAAGCAAACGUAGAAGUAACUCCCAAGGUUUGAUAAUAAACAGGUAAUAGGUACUACCUCAACUACUUCCUAAACCCACAAUUUAAUUAGAUCCUAAUCAUGCAAUGUGUAGAGAUUGAUCUAAUGCAAUAAAACUGGGUAGUAGAAGGUAUGAUCAAAGUGUUACUUGCCUUGCUGAUGAUCCGGGAAACCUAGUGAUUCGAAGUAACAAGCGGCGCACUCUGGGUACUCUAUCACAAAAAAACAAGCAUACAAUAAGUACUCAACUAAUGCACAGGUAAAACUCAAAUAAGAGAUAUAACCAGAAAGUUCAACUUAAGAACUCCGGUUGGCAAAAAGAAUCAAAUCGAACGAAGCAACGAAAGACAAACGGCAAAAGAAAAAGGCUUCGAUUACUAUUCUGGAUCUAGGGCAAUUUUUACAGAACAAAAACUUGUUUAAGUUGGUUAAACGGAAAGAGGGUUUCAAGACAAAACUCCAGGCGCUUGAAUCGCCUGAUUCCGAUAAACGAGCGAAAAGUUAUACUAAAACGAAAGUCGGAUCAGAAAUCGUGAUCAGAAAUAUCGCGGAUUUAAUCCAAGAAAAAGAAAACAACGAACAGGUUAACGAACGAACGUUCGUUAACUGGAUCUAAACGACAAACACGUUCGUUAAAAUGAAUGAACGAGCGAACGCUCACUAAAUAGACUAAACCGAAAAUAAAACCGAUCUAAUAAAAAAACAAAAUCUAAAAAGAAUAAACCCUCGACUUUUAAAAAAACCGCCGGCGACGGCAGCUACCUCGGGCGGCGUGGCGGCUCCGGCGAGCGGGCGAGGCGGCNNNNNNNNNNNNNNNNNNNNNNNNNNNNNNNNNNNNNNNNNNNNNNNNNNNNNNNNNNNNNNNNNNNNNNNNNNNNNNNNNNNNNNNNNNNNNNNNNNNNNNNNNNNNNNNNNNNNNNNNNNNNNNNNNNNNNNNNNNNNNNNNNNNNNNNNNNNNNNNNNNNNNNNNNNNNNNNNNNNNNNNNNNNNNNNNNNNNNNNNNNNNNNNNNNNNNNNNNNNNNNNNNNNNNNNNNNNNNNNNNNNNNNNNNNNNNNNNNNNNNNNNNNNNNNNNNNNNNNNNNNNNNNNNNNNNNNNNNNNNNNNNNNNNNNNNNNNNNNNNNNNNNNNNNNNNNNNNNNNNNNNNNNNNNNNNNNNNNNNNNNNNNNNNNNNNNNNNNNNNNNNNNNNNNNNNNNNNNNNNNNNNNNNNNNNNNNNNNNNNNNNNNNNCGGGGCGACGGCGGCGGUGGCGGGGCGGCGGCUAAGGUUAGGGUUAGGGCGCGGGUGGGCUGGUGGGCUAGUGGGCUGCGGCGGGGCUCGGGCGGCGCUAUUUAAAGGCUGCCCCGGGCGGAGUCCCACUCGGGUACGGCCCGGAGUCGGUUCGGACUUUUUUUAAAAAAAUUAAUUCUGCGCAGAAAAACAAAUAAAAGAAAUACUAAACAGACUCCAAAAAUCCCGAAAUAAAUUUUCCCCGGCUUCUAAAAUCAAGCCGCACAGGAUGAACAUUUAUUUGGGGCCUAAAUGCAAUUUUGAAAAACGCGCAUUUUUCCUAAAUUCAAAUAAAAUAGCAAAUAAAACCAAAAAAAUAUUAUUUGCUUUUUUUAUUAAAUCCUCACUAUUUCUUUAUUUUGGGAAAGUCAUUUUAUUCCUUCUCUCAUAUUUUUGUAAUAUAAAUUAUUGAAGAUAAAAUAAAUCAAAUCAAAUGAUCCUAUUUUCAAAAUUUGAGACAACUCAAAUAUGAAAAUAACGAAAUCCCCAACUCUCUCCGAGGGUCCUUGAGUUGCGAAACAUUUCUAGGGUCGACCAAAAUGCAAUAAAUAUGAUAUACAAUGAUGAUCUAGUGUAUAACAUUCCAAAUUGAAAUUUUGGGAUGUUACAAACCUACCCCCCUUAAGAUGAAUCUCGCCCUCAAGAUUCGGGUUGGCUAGAAAAUAGGUGAGGGUGGUCCUUCAGCAAAUCUUCCUCUCGUUCCCAAGUGGCUUCAUCCUCCAUGUGGUGGCUCCACUGAACUUUGCAAAAAUUGAUAACCUUGCUGCGGUUGACUCGACUGGCAUACUCUAGAAUCUUAACUGGUUUCUCCUCAUAGGUCAAAUCACUGUCCAACUGAAUUGCUUCCAGUGGUACCGUAUCCCUCAGCGGUAUGUCAGUCAUCCCUGCGUGGCACUUCUUCAACUGGGAUACAUGAAACACGUCGUGAACUCCUGAUAGUCCUUCGGGUAAUUCCAACUUGUAGGCUACUUCUCCCAUACGUUCCAACACUUUGUAUGGGCCUACAAAACGUGGCGCUAGUUUUCCCUUAACUCCAAAGCGCUUAACUCCUCGAAGUGGUGAUACUCGAAGAUAAACUCGGCCUCCGACUUCGUAACAUGUCUCCUUGCGUUUAGAGUCUGCAUAACUCUUCUGCCUGGAUUGAGCUACCUUUAGUCUGUCACGAAUUAAUUUCACUUUUUGUUCAGAUUCCUUUAUCAGAUCCGGUCCAAACAACGGGCGAUCUCCAACUUCAUCCCAGGACAAUGGGGUCCUGCACCUCCUUCUGUACAAGGCUUCGAAAGGGGCCAUCUUCAAACUGGAUUGGUAGAUGUUGUUGUAAGAGAACUCUGCAUAUGGCAAAUUCUCAUCCCAACUAGAUCCGUAAUCUAGCGCACAAGCUCUUAGCAUAUCCUCCAAGAUCCGGUUGACUCUCUCAGUCUGUCCAUCUGUCUGCGGGUGGAAAGCUGUGCUAAACUCUAGUCUGGUUCCCAAAGUCUCAUGCAAUUGAUUCCAGAACUUUGAAGUAAACUGGGUUCCUCUAACUGAUACAAUGCUCCUCGAAACUCCAUACCGACAUAUGAUCCUGGUCAUGUAUAUCUUUGCCAACUUUGCACUGGUAUAGGUAGUCUUCACUGGAAUGAAAUGAGCUACCUUUGUCAAAUGAUCGACUACAACCCAUAUCGAGUCAUAGCCUGAACGUGUUGUAGGCAAUCCUGUAAUAAAAUCCAUGCCUAGCUUAUCCCACUUCCAUUCGGGUAUCGGCAAUGGUUGUAGCAAUCCUGCUGGCUUCUGAUGCUCUGCCUUCACUCUCUGACAUACAUCACAAACUGCUACAUAUUCCGCAAUAUUCUUCUUCAUUCCGGUCCACCAGAAAAUAUCCUUCAAAUCCAAAUACAUCUUGGUAUUUCCUGGGUGAAUCGAAUAUGGUGAAUCAUGGGCCUCUUGCAGAAUUAGCUUUCUAAUCUCCGGAUCAUUUGGUACAUAGACGCGGUCUCCAAACCAUAGGGUAUCGUGUCCAUCCUCACGAAAUCCCUUAGCUUUUCCUUUGCUAAUUUUCUCCUUAAUAGAAGCAAUCUCCUUGUCAGUCCUUUGGGCUUCUCUGAGUUUAUCCAUCAAUGUAGGCUGAAUCUCCAAUGCUGCUACAUAGCCUCUCGGGACUAUUUCUAAACAUAACUCUUGAAGAUUUUUGGCUAACUCCCUUGGUAAUUCUCCCGUCAUUAGGGUGUUGACAUGGCUCUUACGGCUUAAUGCGUCAGCUACUACAUUAGCCUUUCCGGGGUGAUAAUGCAAUUUCAUAUCAUAAUCCUUGAUGAGCUCCAACCAUCUCCUUUGUCUGAGAUUCAACUCCUUCUGUGUGAAAAUAUACUUCAAACUCUUAUGAUCCGUAUACACCUCGCAAUGGUUUCCAAUCAGAAAAUGUCUCCAAGUCUUCAGUGCAUGCACUACGGCUGCUAACUCCAAAUCAUGCGUAGCAUAAUUCAACUCAUGAGGCUUAAGCUGUCGUGAGGCAUAUGAAACAACUUUCCCUUCCUGCAUAAGCACUGCUCCAAGUCCUCGACGUGAAGCGUCGCAAUACACCUCAUAAUCCUUGGUCUGGUCUAGCAAAAUCAACACUGGUGAAGUAACCAAGCGUUUCUUCAACUCCUGAAAACUAGCCUCAGAUUCCUCCGUCCAUAUGAACUUGGUAUCCUUUUUCAACAACUCCGUCAUAGGCUUCGCAAUCUUUGAGAAAUUCUCAAUAAACCUCCGGUAGUAUCCUGCCAGUCCAAGAAAACUCCGAUCUCUCCCACGGUGAUUGGUGCUUCCCACUUGGUCACGGUAUCAACUUUAGUGGGAUCUACUGCUAUACCUUCUCCGGAUAUAACGUGUCCGAGAAAUCCAACUUCCUUCAACCAAAACUCACAUUUGAUAAACUUGGCAUAUAAUUGGUGUUCUCUGAGCUUUCCAAGAACCAAACGCAAAUGUUCCUUAUGCUCCUCUUCAUUCUUCGAGUAAACCAGGAUAUCAUCAAUGAACACUACGACGAACUUAUGCAAGAACUCCAUAAACACCUUGUUCAUCAUGUUCAUAAAAUAUGCAGGUGCGUUAGUCAGACCAAAUGACAUAACGGUAUACUCAUACAGCCCAUACCUGGUGGUAAAAGCCGUCUUGGGUAUAUCAUGUUCCCGAAUCUUCAACUGGUGGUAUCCUGAUCGCAGAUCGAUCUUGGAAAAUACCUUAGCUCCUUGCAAUCGAUCAAACAGAUCAUUGAUCAUCGGUAGUGGGUACUUAUUCUUGAUGGUUACUUCAUUCAAUCCUCGAUAAUCGACAACCAUCCUUAACGAUCCAUCCUUCUUCCCCACUAGAAGUACUGGCGAUCCCCCAAGGUGAAGAACUUGGGCGAAUAUAACCUUUAUCCAGUAACUCCUUAAUUUGCUUCUUAAUUUCCACCAAAUCCUUUGCAGGCAUCCUAUAUGGUCUCUUUGACAUUGGCCCUGUGCCUAGCAAUAGCUCAAUCAAAAACUCAAUAUCUCUAUCCGGUGGCAUGCCUGGCAACUCUUCUAGAAAUACUUCAGGGAAAUCCUUUACUACUGGUACUGCCUCCUGCACAACUCCUGUUAAGCAAUUUACUUGAGUCCUCUUUGGCACAUGUCGGGAUACAUACUUGAUCCUUCUUCCUUCUGGGGUGGUAAGCAAAAUUGACUUACUAGCACAUUCAAUAUUCCCUUCAUACUUUGAUAACCAAUCCAUGCCUAAUAUCACAUCCAAUCCUUGGGAUUCCAAUACUAUUAGGUCUGAGGGGAAAACAUAGUUACCAAUCCUUAAUGGUAACCAAUCACACCAUAGACUAGCCGUAUAUUCUUCUCCAGGCGAGGCUACUAACAUGGGUGACCUAAGGGCUUGGGUUGCCAGUUUAUACUUAUCCACAAAUCCCCUGGAUAUGUAUGAAUGCGAUGCACCAGUAUCGAAAAGAACGAGAGCAGUAAAUGACUUAACCAAAAACUUACCGAUUACUGCAUCCGGUUGUUCUUCAACCUCCUCCACACUAACGUGGUUCACCUGUCCCUUGUUGAAAGGGUUCGGCUUCUUCCCAGAGCUUCCAUUGCCAUUUCCAUUUUGUGAUUCAGGACAUUCAUUGGCAUAAUGUCCGGUCUUCUAGCACUUAAAGCAAGUGACUUGACUCAGGUCUUUCUUGGCUGGGUUUGAUGGGUUGGUACGGUUCUGGUCGUUGCUUCCUGAAGGAAAUAUGCCCUAGAGGCAAUAAUAAAGUUAUUAUUUAUGUCCUUAUUUCAUGAUAAAUGUUUAUUAUUCAUGCUAGAAUUGUAUUAACUGGAAACAUAAUACAUGUGUGAAUACAUAGACAAACAGAGUGUCACUAGUAUGCCUCUACUUGACUAGCUCGUUAAUCAAAGAUAGUUAUGUUUCCUAACCAUAGACAAACAGUUGUUAUUUGAUUAACGGGAUCACAUCAUUAGGAGUUGUUAUUUUACUAACUUGACCCAUUCUGUUAGCUUAGCACUCGAUCGUUUAGUAUGUUGCUAUUGCUUUCUUCAUGACUUAUACAUGUUCCUAUGACUAUGAGAUUAUGCAACUCCCGAUUACCGGAGGAACACUUUGUGCGCUACCAAAUGUCACAACGUAACUGGGUGAUUAUAAAGGAGCUCUACAGGUGUCUCCAAAGGUACAUGUUGGGUUGGCGUAUUUCGAGAUUAGGAUUUGUCACUCCGAUUGUCGGAGAGGUAUCUCUGGGCCCUCUCGGCAAUGCACAUCACAUAAGCCUUGCAAGCAUUGUAACUAAUGAGUUAGUUGCGAGAUGACGUAUUACGAAACGAGUAAAGAGACUUGCCGGUAACAAGAUUGAACUAGGUAUUAAGAUACCAACGAUCGAAUCUCGGGCAAGUAACAUACCAAUGACAAAGGGAACAAUGUAUGUUGUUAUGCGGUCUGACUGAUAAAGAUCUUCGUAGAAUAUGUAGGAGCCAAUAUGAGCAUCCAGGUUUCGCUAUUGGUUAUUGACCGGAGGCAUGUCUCGGUCAUGUCUACAUUGUUCUCGAACCCGUAGGGUCCGCACGCUUAAGGUUUCGAUGACAGUUAUAUUAUGAGUUUAUGAGUUUUGAUGUACCGAAGGAGUUCGGAGUCUCGGAUGAGAUCGGGGACAUGACGAGGAGUCUCGAAAUGGUCGAGACGUAAAGAUCGAUAUAUUGGAUGACUAUAUUCGGACAUCGGAAAGGUUCCGAGUGGUUCGGGUAUUUUUCGGAGUACUAGGGAGUUACGGGAAUACGGGGGAUGAAGUAUAUGGGCCUUAUUGGGCUUUAGAGGAGAGGGAGAGGCAGGCCGCGCGCCCCCCCCAUUGACUAGUCCGAAUUGGACUAGGGGGGGGGUGGCUCCCCCUCCUUCCUUCUCUUCCCUCUUCCCCUUCCUUAUCUCCUAAUCCUACUACUUGGAAGAACUCCUAGUUGUACUAGGAAAGGGGGAAUCCUACUCCCGGUGGGAGUAGGACUCCCCUAGGGCGCGCCAUAGAGAGGGCUGGCCCUCCCAUCCUCCACUCCUUUAUAUAAGGGGACAGGGGGCACCCCAAAGACACACAAGUUGAUCUUCGUGAUCAUUCUCUUAGCCGUGUACGGUGCCCCCCCUUCACCAUAAUCCUUGAUAAUACUGUAGAGGUGCUUAGGCGAAGCCCUACGGCGGUAGAACAUCAAGAUCGUCACCACGCCGUCGUGCUGACGGAACUCUUCCCCGACACUUUGCUGGAUCGGAGUCCGGGGAUCGUCAUCGAGCUGAACGUGUGCAAGAACUCGGAGGUGUCGUAGUUUCGGUGCUUGAUCAGUCGGGCCGUGAAGACGUACGACUACAUCAACCGUGUUGGCAUAACGCUUCCGCUGUCGGUCUACGAGGGUACGUAGAUUACACUCUCCCCUCUUGUUGCUAUGCAUCACCAUGAUCUUGCGUGUGCAUAGGGGAAUUUUUGAAAUUACUACGUUCUCCAACAGUGGUAUCAGAGCCUAGGUUUUAUGUGUUGAUGUUAUAUGCACGAGUAGAACACAAGUGAGUUGUGGGCGAUAUAAGUCAUACUGCUUACUACCAUGUCAUACUUUGGUUCGGCGGUAUUGUUGGAUGAAGCGGCCCAGACCGACAUUACGCGUACGCUUACGCGAGACUGGUUCUACCGACGUGCUUUGCACACAGGUGGCUGGCGGGUGUGAGUUUCUCCAACUUUAGUUGAACCGAGUGUGGCUACGCCCGGUCCUUGCGAAGGUUAAAACAACACCAACUUGACAAAUCGUUGUGGUUUUGAUACGUAGGUAAGAUUGGUUCUUGCUAAGCCCGUAGCAGCCACGUAAAAUUUGCAACAACAAAGUAGAGGACAUCUAACUUGUUUUUGCAGGGCAUGUUGUGAUGUGAUAUGGUCAAGACGUGAUGAGAUAUAAGUUCUUGUAUGAGAUGAUCAUGUUUUGUUGAAUUUAUCGGCAACUGGCAGAAGCCUUAUGGUUGUCUUUUUAUUGCAUAAGAUGCAAGCGCCAAAUAAUUGCUUUACUUUAUCGCUGUGCGAUAGCAAUAGUUGCAAGAGCAAUAGUUGGCGAGACGACCAUGUGACGACACAUUGAUAUAGAUCAAGAUGAUGGAGAUCAUGGUGUCAUGCCAGUGACGAUAGAGAUCAUGACGGUACUUUGGAGAUGGAGAACAAAGGCGCAAGAUGAUUAUGACCAUAUCAUGUCACAUAUAUUGAUUGCAUGUGAUGUUUAUCUUUUAUGCAUCUUAUCUUGCUUUGAUUGACGGUAGCUUUAUAAGAUGAUCUCUCACUAAAUUAUCAAGGUAUAAGUGUUCUCCCUGAGUAUGCACCAUUGCGAAAGUUCUUCGUGCUGAGACACCACGUGAUGAUCGGGUGUGAUAGGCUCUACGUUCAAAUACAACGGGUGCAAAACAGUUGCGCACGCGGAAUACUCAGGUUAAACUUGACGAGCCUAGCAUAUACAGAUAUGGCCUCGGAACACUGGAGAUCGAAAGGUCCAGCGUGAAUCAUAUAGUAGAUAUGAUCAACAUAGUGAUGUUCACCAUUGAAAACUACUCCAUCUCACGUGAUGAUCGGACAUGGUUUAGUUGAUUUGGAUCACGUGAUCACUCAGAUGAUUAGAGGGAUGUCUAUCUAAGUGGGAGUUCUUAAGUAAUAUGAUUAAUUGAACUUAAAUUUAUUAUGAACUUAGUCCUAGUAGUAUUUUGCAAAUUAUGUUGUAGAUCAAUAGCUCGCGUUGUUGCUUUCAUAUGUUUAUUUUGAUAUGUUCCUAGAGAAAAUUGUGUUGAAAGAUGUUAGUAGCAAUGAUGCGGAUUGGAUCCGUGAUCUGAGGUUUAUCCUCAUUGCUGCAUAAAAGAAUUAUGUCCUUGAUGCACCGCUAGGUGACAUACCUAUUGCAGGAGCAGAUGCAGACGUUAUGAACAUUUGGCUAGCUCAAUAUGAUGACUACUUGAUAGUUUAGUGCACCAUGCUUAACGGCUUAGAAUCGGGACUUCAAAGACAUUUUGAACGUCGAGGACCAUAUGAGAUGUUCCAGGAGUUGAAGUUAAUAUUUCAAGCAAAUACCCGAGUUGAGAGAUAUGAAGUCUCCAACAAGUUCUGUAGAUAAAAGAUGGAGGAGAAUCGCUCAACUAGUGAGCAUGUGCUUAGAUUGUCUGGGUACUACAAUCGCUUGAAUCAAGUGGGAGUUAAUCUUCCAGAUAAAAUAGUGAUUGACAGAAUUCUCUAGUCACCAUCACCAAGUUAGUAGAACUUCGUGAUGAACUAUGAUAUGCAAGGGAUAACAGAAACGAUUCCCAAGCUCUUUGUAAUGCUGAAAUUGACGAAGGUAGAAAUCGAGAAAAACAUCAAGUGUUGAUGGUAGACAACACCACUAGUUUCAAGAAAAGGGAAAAGGGAAAAAGGGGAACUUCAAGAAGAACAUCAAGCAAGUUGCUGCUCAAGUGAAGAAGCCCAAGUCUGGUCCUAAGCCUGAGACUAAGUGAUUCUACUGCAAAGGGACUUGUCACUGGAAGCGGAACUACCCCAAGUGAUUGGCGGAUAAGAAGGAUGGCAAAGUGAACAUAAGUAUAUUUGAUAUACAUGUUAUUAAUGUGUACUUUACUAGUGUUUAUAGCAACCCCUCAGUAUUUGAUACUAGUUCAGUUGCUAAGGUUAGUAACUCGAAAUGGGAGUUGCAGAAUAAAUAGAGACUAGUUUAGGGUGAAGUGACGAUGUGUGUUGGAAGUGGUUCCAAGAUUGGUAUGAUCAUCAUCGCACACUCCCUAUACUUUUGGUAUUAGUGUUGAAACUAAAUAUGUGUUAUUUGGUGUUUGCGUUGAGCAUAAAUAUGAUUGGAUCAUGUUUAUUGCAAUACAGUUAUUCAUGUAAGUUAGAGAAUAAUUGUUGUUCUGUUUACAUGAAUAAAACCUUCUAUGGUCAUACACCCAAUGAAAAUGGUUUGUUGGAUCUCGAUCGUGGUGAUACACAUAUUCAUAAUAUUGAAGCCAAAAGAUGCAAAGUUAAUAAUGAUAGUGCAACUUAUUUGUGGCACUGCCGUUUAGGUCAUAUUGGUGUAAAGCGCAUGAAGAAACUCCAUGCUGAUGGGUUUUUGGAAUCACUUGAUUAUGAAUCAGUUGAUGCUUGCGAACCAUGCCUCAUGGGCAAGAUGAUUAAGACUCCGUUCUCCGGAACAAUGGAGCGAGCAACAGAUUUGUUGGAAAUCAUACAUACUGAUGUAUGUGGUCCGAUGAAUGUUGAAGCUCACGGCGGGUAUCGUUAUUUUCUGACCUUCACAGAUGAUUUGAGCAGAUAUGGGUAUAUCUACUUGAUGAAACAUAAGUCUGAAACAUUUGAAAAGUUCAAAUAAUUUCAGGGUGAAGUGGAAACUCAUCGUGACAAGAAAAUAAGGUUUCUACGAUCUGAUCGCGGAGACAAAUAUUUUAGUUAUGAGUUUGGUCUUCAAUUAAAACAAUGUGGAAUAGUUUCACAAACUCAUGCCACCUGGAACACCACAGCAUAAUGCUGUGUCCGAAUGUCAUAACCGUACUUUAUUGGAUAUAGUGCAAUCUAUGAUGUUUCUUACCAAUUUACCAAUAUUGUUUUGGGAUUAUGCAUUAGAGACAACUGCAUUCACAUUAAAUAGGGCACCAUCUAAAUCUGUUGAGACGACACUAUAUGAACUAUGGUUUAGCAAGAAACCAAAGUUGUCGUUUCUUAAAGUUUGGGGUUGUGAUGCUUAUGUGAAAAAGUUUCAUCCUGAUAAGCUCAAACCCAAAUCAGAGAAAUGCGUCUUCAUAGGAUACCCAAAGGAGACAGUUGGGUACACCUUCUAUCACAGAUCCGAAGGCAAGAUAUUCGUUGCUUAGAAUGGAUCCUUUCUAGAGAAGGAGUUUCUCUCAAAAGAAGUGAGUGGGAGGAAAGUAGAACUUGAUGAAGUAACUGUACCCGCUCCCUUAUUGGAAAGUAGUUCAUCACAGAAAUAUGUUCCUGUGACUACUACACCAAUUAGUGAGGAAGCUAAUGAUGAUGAUCAUGUAACUUCAGAUCAAGUUGCUACCGAACCUCGUAGGUAAACCAGAGUGAGAUCCGCACCAGAGUGGUACAGUAAUCCUAUUCUGGAGGUCAUGUUACUUGACCAUGACGAGCCCACGAACUAUGAGGAAGCGAUGAUGAGCCCAGAUCCCGCGAAAUGGCUUGAGGCCAUGAAAUCUGAGAUGAGAUCCAUGUAUGAGAACAAAGUAUGGACUUUGAUUGACUUGCCCAUUGAUAGGUGAGCCAUUAAGAUUAAAUGGAUUUUCAAGAGGAAGAUGGACGCUGAUAGUAGUGUUACUAUCUACAAAGCUAGAAUUGUCGCAAAAAGGUUUUUCGACAAAUUCAAGGUGUUGACUACGAUGAGAGUUUCUCACUCGUAACUAUGCUUAAGUCUGUCCGAAUCAUGUUAGAAAUUGCCACAUUUUAUGAAAUCUGGCAAAUGGAUAAACAAAACUGCAUUCCUUAAUGGAUUUAUUAAAGAAGAGUUGUAUAUGAUGCAACCGGGAGGUUUUGUCAAUCCUAAAGGUACUAACAAAAUAUGCAAGCUCCAGCGAUCCAUCUAUGGACUGGUGCAAGCAUCUCGGAGUUGGAAUAUACGCUUUGAUAAGUUGAUCAAAGCAUAUAGUUUUAUACAGACUUACGUUGAAGCCUGUAUUUACAAGAAAGUGAGUGGGAGCACUACAGCACUUCUGAUAAGUAUAUGUGAAUAACAUAUUGUUGAUCGGAGAUAAUGUAGAAUUAUUCUGCAAAGCAUAAAGGAGUGUUUGAAAGGAGUUUUUCAAAGAAAGACCUCGGUGAAGCUGCUUACAUAUUGAGCAUCAAGAUCUAUAGAGAUAGAUCAAGACGCUUGAUAAGUUUUUUCAAUGAGUACAUACCUUGACAAGAUUUUGAAGUAGUUCAAAAUGGAACAGUCAAAGAAAGAGUUAUUGCCUGUGUUACAAGGUGUGAAAUAGAGUAAGACUCAAAGCCCGACCACGGCAGAAGAUAGAAAGAGAAUGAAAGUCAUUCCCUAUGCCUCAGCCAUAGGUUCUAUAAAGUAUGACAUGCUAUGUACCAGAUCUAUUGUAUACCCUACACUGAUUUUGGCAAGGGAGUACAAUAGCGAUCUAGGAGUAGUCACUAGACAUCGGUCAAAAUUAUCCUUAGUGGAAUAAGGAUAUGUUUCUCGAUUAUGGAGGUGACAAAAGGUUCGUCGUAAAAGGAUUACGUUGAUACAAGUUUUUGGCACUGAUCUGGAUGGCUCUAAGUCUUCAUCUGGAUACAUAUUGAAAGUGGGAGCAAUUGGUUAAAGUAGAUCCAUGCAGAGCAUUGUAGACAUAGAAAUUUGCAAAAUACAUACGGAUCUGAAUUUUGGCAGACUCGUUGACUAAGCUUCUCUCACAAGCAAAACAUGAUCACACCUUAGUACUCUUUGGGUGUUAAUCACAUAUAGAUGUGAACUAGAUUAUUGACUCUAGUAAACCCUUUGAGUGUUGGUCACAUAAUGAUGUGAACUAUUGGUGUUAAAUCACAUGGCAAUGUGAACUAGAUUAUUGACUCUAGUGCAAGUGGGAGACUGAAGGAAAUAUGCCCUAGAGGCAAUAAUAAAGUUAUUAUUUAUUUCCUUAUUUCAUGAUAAAUGUUUAUUAUUCAUGCUAGAAUUGUAUUAACCGGAAACAUAAUACAUGUGUGAAUACAUAGACAAACAGAGUGUCACUAGUAUGCCUCUACUUGACUAGCUCGUUAAUCAAAGAUGGUUAUGUUUCCUAACCAUAGACAAAGAGUUGUUAUUUGAUUAACGGGAUCACAUCACUAGGAGAAUGAUCUGAUUGACAUGACCCAUUUCAUUAGCUUAGCACCCGAUCAUUUAGUAUGUUGCUAUUGCUUUCUUCAUGACUUAUACAUGUUCUUAUGACUAUGAGAUUAUGCAACUCCCGUUUACCGGAGGAACACUUUGUGUGCUACCAAACGUCACAAUGUAACUGGGUGAUUAUGAAGGAGCUCUACAGGUGUCUCCAAAGGUACAUGUUGGGUUGGCGUAUUUCGAGAUUAGGAUUUGUCAUUCUGAUUGUCGGAGAGGUAUCUUUGGUCCCUCUCGGUAAUGCACAUCACAUAAGCCUUGCAAGCAUUGCAACUAAUGAGUUAGUUGCGAGAUGAUGUAUUACGGAACGAGUAAAGAGACUUGCCGGUAACGAGAUUGAACUAGGUACUAAGAUACCGACGAUCGAAUCUCGGGCAAGUAAGAUACCGAUGACAAAGGGAACAACGUAUGUUGUUAUGCGGUCUGACCGAUAAAGAUCUUCGUAGAAUAUGUAGGAGACAAUAUGAGCAUCCAGGUUCCUCUAUUGGUUAUUGACCGGAGACAUGUCUCAGUCAUGUCUACAUUGUUCUCGAACCCAUAGGGUCCGCACGCUUAAGGUUUCGAUGACAGUUAUAUUAUGAGUUUAUGAGUUUUGAUGUACCGAAGGAGUUCGGAGUCCCGGAUGAGAUCGGGGACAUGACAAGGAGUCUCGAAAUGGUCGAGACAUAAAGGUCGAUAUAUUGGAUGACUAUAUUCGGACAUCAGAAAGGUUUUGAGUGGUUCGGGUAUUUUUCGGAGUAUCGGGGAGUUACGGGAAUACGGGGGAAGAAGUAUAUGGGCCUUAUUGGGCUUUAGGGGAGAGGGAGAGGCAGCCCCCCCCCCCCAUUGACUAGUACGAAUUGGACUAGGGGGAGGGGCGGCGCCCCCUCCUUCCUUCUCUUCCCUCUUCCCCUUCCUUGUCUCCUAAUCCUACUACUUGGAAGAACUCCUAGUUGUACUAGGAAAGGGGGAAUCCUACUCCCGGUGGGAGUAGGACUCCCCUAGGGCGCGCCAUAGAGAGGGCCGGCCCUCCCCUCCUCCACUCCUUUAUAUACGGGGACAGGGGGCACCCCAAAGACACACAGGUUGAUCUUCGCGAUCGUUCUCUUAGACGUGUACGGUGCCCCCCUCCACCAUAAUCCUCGAUAAUAUUGUAGCGGUGCUUAGGCGAAGCCCUGCGACGGUAGAACAUCAAGAUCGUCACCAUGUCGUCGUGCUUACGGAACUCUUCCCCGACACUUUGCUGGAUCGGAGUCCGGGAUCGUCAUCGAGCUGAACGUGUGCAAGAACUCGGAGGUGUCGUAGUUUCGGUGCUUGAUCGGUCGGGCCAUGAAGACGUACGACUACAUCAACCGCGUUGUCAUAACGCUUCCGCUGUCGGUCUAUGAGGGUACGUAGAUUACACUCUCCCCUCUUGUUGCUAUGCAUCACCAUGAUCUUGCGUGUGCGUAGGGAAAUUUUUGAAAUUACUACAUUCUCCAACACUUCCUCCAUUACCAUUACCAUUCCUGGGGCCAUUGUGAUUGUGUGAGCUACCUCCUCCAUGUGUAUGCUGAAAAUGUCCUCCCGGUCUAGGGGUAAAUCGUGGCUUCUGCUGAGCUCCUGAAUUGUACUUUCCUUGUCCAUACUUCCUCUUGCGAUUCUCAAUUUGCUGCUGCUUCCCUUCAAUCAUAAGAGCACGAUCUACCAACUCCUGGUAGUUGUUGAAGGUUGCUACCAUCAACUGCAUGCUCAACUCAUCAUUCAGUCCUUCCAGAAACUUCUCCUGCUUAGCUGCAUCCGUAGCAACGUCAUCUAGGGCAUAACGUGCUAAUUUACUAAAGUCCUCCACAUACUGGCCAACUGUCCGUCCUCCUUGGCGCAAGUUGCGAAACUCUCGCUUCUUCAUGGCCAUAGCUCCUGCUGAAACAUGGGCAGUUCGAAAAGCCUGCUGAAACUAGUCCCAUGUGACAGUGUCGACAGGGAAAGUGGCUGUGAAAUUCUCCCACCAUGAUGUUGCGGGUCCUUCAAGAUGAUGUGCGGCAAACUUCACCUUCUCCGCAUCCGUGCAUCCUGCUGUGGUCAACUCUCUAGCUGUCUUGUGGAGCCAAUCAUCUGCUACUAUCGGCUCGGUGCUACUGGAAAACACCGGCGGAUUCAGCCUAAGAAAACGGGCUAAGUGAUCAACAGGUGGUGGUGGUGGUGGGUUGUUGUUGUUGUUCCCCUGAUUUUGAUUCUGGACUAGCAACUGCAUCAAUGUGUUCUCCUGCUAGAUCAACUGAGUGAGCUCCGGUGGAAAGGUAAAUCCGGGGUCACGUCUCGGAGGCAUCUGAGGGUUUAGAAAAGAUGAGAUUUAAGAAUAGAGGGGGUAUAAAGAGAAAACACUACCCAUAUGCACAUGAGGUAAAAGCAAACAGUUCACUUCAUUCAAUCAAACAAGGGCAUACAAUCGAUCUAACUAUCGCAAAAGUGCUCGGACUAUUGUAUUUACAUGGUGGACUACUACUACUGAUGAGGUGGUCUACUAGAAAUAUUCUUCGGUUGCAGACUCCAUGAUAUCUGCUCCGACUUCAUCAACAUAGUCAUCAUCGCUAUCAUCUGGAUCUGAGUCGGUGUCGUCGAUGAUGAUGUAGUCUUCCGGGUGAAUCUCCUUGGGUUCUUCGUCUUCAUCUACUGGUGUAGGGCCUCCCAUAAAUAUCCCGAUCUUCAUUGUUAGGUCGGCAUUCUUAUCCACUAAUACUUCAAUUUCUUCUUCAAAAUCUUCACGUGUAGCCUUGAGUUCUUCCUCCAGUUCCUUGAUUCUUGUCCUUGCCUUCUUCAGGUCUAUCAUGUCGGCGCACAUCUGGUUCUCCUGACGUCGAAUGUGCUGGUUUAAUUCCUGGAUAAAAGCUGCAAUUGAUCUAUCCUUUCUGGUGUUGAUCAUCUCCCAGUGCUCAUCUCGGCGCCCACAAAUCUGGUAGAUAGUAUCCUUGAGAUCAUUGCGGUAGACUUCUCCAAUGCGUCCCAUGGCGAUGUGAGCUGCCAUGCUCUUUCCUAGACUCCAAGUUGGUGCAUCAAAAGAAAACUCUAUGGGCUCAGUGACUGGCAUGAACGUCCUUCCUCGAACUUGAACUUGAAUCAUCCAGGGCUCUUCUUCAGGUAAAGUGGCAUUGUAGGUUCCGGUGAAGCUUGGUACUCCUAUGUUUAGAUAUCUAAUGACUUCCUUCAAGUGACGUCCAAAGAGUGUAUCUUCAUCCAGUUGCGUGAACUUGUUCCUUGCAUCCGCCAUCCCAAAGAGUAGAAAAGAUGAGAGGUCAGAAGAGAAGAGAGUGAGUAGUGAUCUAGGUCUUUAGCUUAGUGGUCGUGUCCUACAGUCAGCGUGUGCUUUGAUACCAUCUUGUAGCGACCAGACCUCAAACGGUCCAAUCUCUGUGCUCCGGUGUCAUCCCUGGAUCAGUAAUGCUGACACCACAUAGUACUUGAAGAAUUUAUAAUAGAGUAGCAAUCACACACUUAUUACAUCGAGUGUCUCAAUAGAGAACUUAUUACAAUAAAUAUGGCUUAAGGCCAUCUAAUAAUGAUAACAGCGGAAGGCUUAGAAGAUAAGUGAGUCCAUCAACUCCAACGGCAUCACUGAGUAUAGAACCACGACCUAAAACUCCUUAAUCGUCGUCUGAAAAGCCUGCAACAUUAACGUUGCAGCCCGAAAACGGGUCAGCACAUGGAAUAUGCUGGCAAGGUAACACAUAGAGAGUAGUGGAAUGAAACAACUAUAUUAUAUGCAUAUUUGGCUGGUGGAAAGCUCUAUGGUUACAGUUUUGCAAAAAGCCAAUUUUUCCCUACUACAAAGGAAUAAAUUUAUUUAACUAUCAUGGUGGUUGUUAAACAUUGAGAAUGGUUGACAGCAUUCUCAAUCCCAAUUAAACAUCAUUAAACAAACCCGUCAAACUUAAUUUUAUAGUAACAUGUUGAGAUUCACAUGAUAAUCCAAGUACUAGAUACUCAAGAUGUCCAUGACUAGGGACACGGCUAACCAUGAUUAGUUUAUACACUCUGCAGAGGUUUGCGCACUUUUCCCCACAAGACUCGAUCUCCUCCGUUGGAUUUCUCGCACUACAGGGUGUUUGAGAAACGGAUGACCGAGACAUAGUCUUUUAGAAGCGCUAGCACCUUACGAUCGGGUAGAUCGUACCACCUACAUCCCCUACAUCUGCUAGUCUACCACUGUAAGAGUUCGCACGACUUAGUCAACUAUGUUAGAGCCCAUAAUAGCUUGUGGCUGCACACGGAAGCUUCUAGCAUGAAUAAUCUCAUGAUCUCUUUGAGCCUGGGUGGCGGUCCAAAAGAAAACAGGCAAUCCUGGAAUACCCAGGUACCUCAAUCCACCCAGAUGUGUAUUUAAGUUUCCACCUUAGAUAAACCAUUGAUUUAAAAGAAAUCUCACAUCUGUCAUGGAUAUCACUCACCCAAUCCACGUCUACUAGCAUAGCAUAGCAAUAGUAAGCAAAUGUAGAAGUAACUCCCAAGGUUUGAUAAUAAACAGGUAAUAGGUACUACCUCAACUACAUCCCAAACCCACAAUUUAAUUAGAUCCUAAUCAUGCAAUGUGUAGAGAUUGAUCUAAUGCAAUAAAACUGGGUAGUAAAAGGUAUGAUCAAAGUGUUACUUGCCUUGCUGAUGAUCCGGGAAACCUAGUGAUUCGAAGUAACAAGCGGCACACUCCGGGUACUCUAUCGCAAACAAACAAGCAUACAAUAAGUACUCAAAUAAUGCACAUGUAAAACUUAAAUAAGAGAUCUAACUAGAAAGUUCAACUUAACAACUCCGGUUGGCAAAAAGAAUCAAAUCAAACGAAGCAAUGAAAGACAAACGGCAAAAGAAAAAGGCUUUGAUUACUAUUCUGGACCUAGGGCAAUUUUUACAGAAACAAAAACUUGUUUAAGUUGGUUUAACGGAAAUAGGGUUUCGAGACGAAACUCCAGGCGCUUGAAUCGCCUGAUUCCGAUAAACGAGUGAAAAGUUAUACUAAAACGAAAGUCGGAUCAGAAAUCGCGAUCAGAAAAAUCGCAAAUUUAAUCCGAGAAAAAGAAAACGACGAACAGUUUAACGAACGAAUGUUCGUUAACUGGAUCUAAACGACGAACACGUUCGUUAAAACGAACGAACGAGCAAACGCUCACUAAAUAGACUAAACCGAAAAUAAAACCGAUCUAAUAAAAAAACAAAAUCUAAAAAGAACCGCGGCUUUUAAAAAAAUCAGGCGGUUUUCUAAAAAAACCCGGCAACGGCGGCUACCUCGGGCGGCGGGGCGGCUCCGGCGAGCGGGCNNNNNNNNNNNNNNNNNNNNNNNNNNNNNNNNNNNNNNNNNNNNNNNNNNNNNNNNNNNNNNNNNNNNNNNNNNNNNNNNNNNNNNNNNNNNNNNNNNNNNNNNNNNNNNNNNNNNNNNNNNNNNNNNNNNNNNNNNNNNNNNNNNNNNNNNNNNNNNNNNNNNNNNNNNNNNNNNNNNNNNNNNNNNNNNNNNNNNNNNNNNNNNNNNNNNNNNNNNNNNNNNNNNNNNNNNNNNNNNNNNNNNNNNNNNNNNNNNNNNNNNNNNNNNNNNNNNNNNNNNNNNNNNNNNNNNNNNNNNNNNNNNNNNNNNNNNNNNNNNNNNNNNNNNNNNNNNNNNNNNNNNNNNNNNNNNNNNNNNNNNNNNNNNNNNNNNNNNNNNNNNNNNNNNNNNNNNNNNNNNNNNNNNNNNNNNNNNNNNNNNNNNNNNNNNNNNNNNNNNNNNNNNNNNNNNNNNNNNNNNNNNNNNNNNNNNNNNNNNNNNNNNNNNNNNNNNNNNGGUUAGGGCGCGGGUGGGCUGGUGGGCUGCGGCGGGGCUCGGGCGGCGCUAUUUAAAGGCUGCCCCGGGCGGAGUCCCGCUCGGGUACGGCCCGGAGUCAGUUCGGACUCUUUUUUUUGAAAUUAAUUCCGCACAGAAAACAAAUAAUAGAAAUACAAAACGGACUCCAAAAAUCCUGAAAUAAAUUUCCCCGGCUUCUAAAAUCAGGCCGCACAGGAUGAACAUUUAUUUGGGGCCUAAAUGCAAUUUUGAAAAACACGUAUUUUUCCUAAAUUCAAAUAAAAUAGCAAAUAAAACCAAAAAAUCUUAUUUGAUUUUUUAUUAAAUCCUCAAUAUUUCCUUAUUUUGGGAAAGUCAUUUUAUUGCCUCUCUCAUAUUUUUGUAAUAGAAAUUAUUGAAGAUAAAAUAAAUAAAAUCAAAUGAUCCUAUUUUCAAAGUUUGAGACAACUCAAAUAUGAAAAUAACGAAAUCCCCAACUCUCUCCGAGGAUCCUUGAGUUGCGAAAAAUUUCUAGGAUCAACCAAAAUGCAAUAAAUAUGAUAUGCAAUGAUGUCUAGUGUAUAACAUUCCAAAUUGAAAAUUUGGGAUGUUACAACCUCGAACUCAUGGUCAUCAAAGUGCAUGUCAGUUGGAGCCAACACCCAUAGUUGACAUGUAUGCAUCAUCGUUGAGACUACAAAAUAUAUAGAACAAUGCGAAUAAGCUAUCUAUAUCAAUGCAUUCAAGAAAUAACAAGAAAAAAAGGUUGGGGAAAUUUUCUACCUUUGGGGCAUAUCCUCGAACACGUUGUGCGCAUCGGCCGCCAGCUCAAUGAGUGAGCUCGUCGGCGCUUCGGUAGCCCCCGUGCCCGUCACAUGCCCUGCAAGUUUCUUCCUCGACGCCUUCGAGGUGUCGGAGCCGUCCGCCGCCUUAUUCUUCUUUGCGGAUGUCUUGCCCUUCUUCGGCUGCGCCGCAUUUGGGAGCUUCGAGGGGGGGGGCACGGGGCGGCGCCGGCGCGACGCGACCCACCAUCGAGGUCAUCCGCGGCGGCAUGAAGGGCCGCGUGUGAGGCCGAUGCUCGGAGGAGCUCCGGCGGAGGCGAGGCCAACGCUCCCCGCGCUAGGGUUUGUGGCGGCGGCGACGAUGGAAGGGUCGCGGAUGUAGGAUGCGGUGAGCGGGGUGCCGGCGCGUGCGCCCAUCGGGUCCAGCUCGCCGGCGCCGGCGCGCGCGUGGCGAAGGUGACGCGGAGGAGAGAGUGCGGUGCGAGCGCUGGUGUGUGCCGCGCGCGGAAGUGGGCGCCCUAAAUACACAACGCGCGUUGACGGUUCGGACAGCGCGCCCGACUCCAUACGCCGCGCGCGCGGUUAUUGCGCCCGCUGGAGCCACUCUAUCAGUUGCGCGCACGUUAAAAUGACCAAAUUUACGGCACGACGUUUGUUUAACACGGUUGUUGAAUAUGCUCUCAGGUAGCUAGGGCCAUAGCACAUGACGCUACGACGUCCAUCCGCAUGCCGCACCCCCAGUUAGCGUGAGUUGUCCCCACAUGUCAAUCAGUCACUGCAUGGUCGAAUGAGGUGUGUUUGGUAGGGCGUAUGAGGGGUGCAUGAGAGCAAAAGUUCCCUUCUCGACCCACUUUUGAGUGUUUGGUAGAGUAUGAAGGGUGCAUGAGUCCACACUAGUUUAGCACAAAUACACUAAAAGCAUGCAUGAGGAGAGCAUGCAUGAGGAGGGAUGUUGAGGUGAGCAUGCAUAAAGAGAGAACAACUAUGCUGAGAUGAGAACGCAACCAAACACACCCUAUUUUUCCGUCUGAGGUGCGGUGCAUAGCUCGCAGCAGAUCGGUACUGCUUUUUCACGGUACUUUCUAUGAGAGGGUACCUUGUGAACGAUUAUUUGUUGUUAGAAAUUCAACACUGAGUGAAGCGGCCAGGAAAGAGAUAACUAGCAUUUAGUGGAUGAAGCGAAGGCUGGUCGUCUUGUACAGUCUGGAGACAAAUCCAGUCUCCGGGGUCCUACUUUGUUCUCCGGAAUCAUUAGCCAUUCGGAGCUACGCGCCAGAGCCAGAGUCACAAUCAAAUCAUCAAUUAGAGGCUCACGUUCCAUCAACAAAACAAUAAAGGAAUACCUAAAACUCAUCUAGAUGAGAUAUAAUUUAAUCUUAUUUAUUUUAAAAAUUAGAACAGAUACAAUCCAUGUCAGCACACACGCAUCUUAAAGCAUCACAUCCAAUGGCUAUAAAAGAUGAAUGAGACCAAAUUAUAUCUCAUCUAGAUGAGUUCUAGCAAAACUGAAACAAUAACCCACUCCUAAGCAUGGCCCGGCAUAGCUUUGUUUGCGAGUGCAUCCAUGCCGCUGCAUGGCAAACUGUCAUGGCUAAUAAACAGUGAUGUCCGGCUACCCAGUGCAAAUCUACAGUAAGGAUCACACUGUCAGCUACUACAUGGACGUAACGUACGUACAGUUCUGCCACAGUUGUGACGGUAACACGUAUCAAACCCGAUCGGGACCCGAGCUGUUUGGGUUUUACGAGUAGUCGUGGACAAUCUCGUCCGACUCCACGCGGCGGCGACGCCGUUGCUGGAUCACAGAGCCAUGCAUCACGUACGCCAGCCAUUCAUGCAGCCGGCCGUGGUCGACGACGCCCCACUCCUCCGUGGCCGGGCAGCUGCCAGGCCAACAGAAAACCCACGGCGCUGCCCGUGUGCGGUGGCCGUGGCACGCGCUGCCUCAUUCCCGCCGCUCCGACAGACAGACCGGCCGCCGUGCCGUAGUCAUCGCCGACUGCGCACGGACGCAUCGCGCGCAAGUAGGAGAGGCAAUGAUAGAUGGGUGCUGUUGCCGGUAUCAGCGUACGCCUGCACGCCGCUAUCUGGUCCAGCAUCUGAAGAAGGCGUCGCAAUUGUUAAUUAGCGCAGCUGUACUGCCGCGCGCAGCCGAUGCCUCUGUCCGUAUCUGCUAAUCCGCCGACGGGACCACGACAAGCAUGGCCAUUUAAGCAAAGCUAUUCGGGGGUGUGCACAACAAAAUUUGGACUUGAGCAAUCGGUUGCGAGACCACGGAGCAAUGCGACGGGACGACGCGCGGCGACGUCUCAAAAGGAUAAGGACGGCCGGCGAGGUCGCACGGUGCUAGGUGUAGCACACAGACACAGGCCGUGCGCAUCAAAGGAGGAAAUGUCAGACGUAAAUAAAUGCCAAACUGAGUGGUGGCUUUUAUUGGUUUUAUUUUGGGCACCCUUGGAGAGAAGUGAUAGCCUGCAUCGAUGGAGAACUGUACAUGGAGUGGCCCUAGCUAUCCUAGUGAGCGAGGGUGCAGGACAUUGGAUUCCUUUCCAGCCCCGGCGCCCAUGAACGCGGAUACGGCUCGUGUUAAGCGGGGGCUACUCUGACACUCACGCUAUCUAGAUCUACACAAGUGAAUGAUCCGAAAAUGCCUUUUGGAGCUCGGCCUACAUGGAGGUCGGUUUUUGAAAAACACAAAAAUCAUAAAAAUUCAUUCAAAAAAAUCUGAAAAAAAUUACAGAUAUACAUGGAGGCAUAACACACAUGUGUGUAAAUUUUUAGGACGAAAUACGUUGAAAUGAAGGCUGUGCAAAAAAGACAAAUCUGAGGCCUUUUAACACAUGUUACUAUUCAUCCUCAAAGUCCAGAAAUUUGUCUUUUUCUAUAGGUCGCGUUUCGAAGUAUUUCAUCUUGAAUUUUUACACACACAUGCAUUUCAUCCGUGUAUAGUUACAUAUUUAUUUUGAGAAUUUUUUGAAGUCAAAAAGUUUGAAUUUUGAAUUUUUCAAAAAUAAAGGGCUUCAUGGAGCUCGGUCACCAAAACUGAAUGAUCCAGCAAUGUUGCCGAAAUUAACGAGUCCCAUGCGUAGCUCUGCGUCGUAGUACUACCACUACCUCUUAGGCUGAGCGGCUGACACGCAUGGCCCCGGUACACACACGAGGUACGUACUAGCAAGAAAACACCAGGGAUCACGGACUAGGCUGGCUAGGCGGUACUGGACGGGGGGCUUAACAACAGGCGGCGCCGUAGUGAUCCCCGUUCCCGAAUCAAUGCGUGGCAGGCAAUAACUAGGUGAUCGUAUGUACACACGCGUCGUGGUACGCCAGUCAGUAGCUGCGGUCACGUACCUCUCGUGUACAUACUCGGGGCAAGUCUGCAUGCAUACUACCACUACCAGGAGGUAUGACUCGUAUGAGUAGCCACGCCCUGCGCCAAAUGGCAAGCAUGCCAUGCCCGGCGCACACGCACACCGUGGUGACCAGUCCUCAGGCCGUCACGCGGCACGGUGGCAGGGCGUCCUCCCCGCCGCGCGGCGCGGCGCCAUCCCCACGCGCGUGGGCGAGUGACCACACAAUCGCGCGCCGGGACAAACCCACGGACACUCCACGUAAAGAUUAGCCAGCCAGCCGCGGGCACCGGGCCAGAGCACGCCCAGACUGCGCUGCGUCCGUCCACGGCCCGCCUCCUCUCCUCCCUCCACGCCUUUCGCGGCGACCGAGACGCCUCAAGGCAAGGCCCCCAUGCCGCCGACGCGACGGGCGGACGGGACGGCACGGAGGCGAGCACGCCGCGCCGCGCCAAGCCCGGCGGGACGCCUCGGAGCGGACAGAAAGAGGACGGGCCGUGCCGCGCAGUGCGUCGUCGACCGGCACAAAAGGCAGCGGAUUUCGGUCGACGGCGACGCGCGGUGUCGCACACGCCUCGCCUUUCUCGAGCCGGAACAGAGCCCGGCCCGGGCGUGCGUGCAGAAUCGGCUGGGAAAGCGCGGCCGCGUAUCAGCCUUUCUCCGUCCUGCUCCAUGGUUUUCCCCGAAUUCCACGGGACAGCAGCCUCGUGCUAAAGCUGCCCCGUCCGACAAACCCCUCUUUUCUCAGCGACCUUGUGUUUACACAAGCCACACCCUUGCACUGUCGCUGCUCGGCCCAGACCAGUCGCAUUACACACGAAAAGAUGUGAAAAUUCGAAUGAAAUGCCAACUUCUAGCAAGAAGUUUACUAGAAAAGCGACUUCACAUUGGGGGCACGGAAAUAUUUUACAUGCAUACUACUCGUACUAGCACCGCCAGAUUAUUGCAUCCAGACGGUGGCGAGGGGAUACGCUAGGAGUUCAUCGCGGCCGAAAAGACAAGCUUUUUGCCACGUUAAGACAAGAGAGUAGAGCGCACACGUAUGCACGCACGUUUUCUUAAUCCGGCAUCAUGAUGCGAGUACCAACUAAUAGUAGUAUUAAAAAUGCUACUAGCAUCUAGGCUAAGAUUUGAUUGAGUACGGCGAUCGCCACUCCGGGGUCCGGACGGCCCGGC